RNAcentral lists this ribosomal RNA (2794 nucleotides) under Escherichia coli. RNAcentral describes it as "partial 23S ribosomal RNA". It matches the Rfam family "Bacterial large subunit ribosomal RNA". Lineage: Bacteria; Pseudomonadati; Pseudomonadota; Gammaproteobacteria; Enterobacterales; Enterobacteriaceae. The record is from RNAcentral.
GGUUAAGCGACUAAGCGUACACGGUGGAUGCCCUGGCAGUCAGAGGCGAUGAAGGACGUGCUAAUCUGCGAUAAGCGUCGGUAAGGUGAUAUGAACCGUUAUAACCGGCGAUUUCCGAAUGGGGAAACCCAGUGUGUUUCGACACACUAUCAUUAACUGAAUCCAUAGGUUAAUGAGGCGAACCGGGGGAACUGAAACAUCUAAGUACCCCGAGGAAAAGAAAUCAACCGAGAUUCCCCCAGUAGCGGCGAGCGAACGGGGAGCAGCCCAGAGCCUGAAUCAGUAUGUGUGUUAGUGGAAGCGUCUGGAAAGGCGCGCGAUACAGGGUGACAGCCCCGUACACAAAAAUGCACAUAUUGUGAGCUCGAUGAGUAGGGCGGGACACGUGGUAUCCUGUCUGAAUAUGGGGGGACCAUCCUCCAAGGCUAAAUACUCCUGACUGACCGAUAGUGAACCAGUACCGUGAGGGAAAGGCGAAAAGAACCCCGGCGAGGGGAGUGAAAAAGAACCUGAAACCGUGUACGUACAAGCAGUGGGAGCACGCUUAGGCGUGUGACUGCGUACCUUUUGUAUAAUGGGUCAGCGACUUAUAUUCUGUAGCAAGGUUAACCGAAUAGGGGAGCCGAAGGGAAACCGAGUCUUAACUGGGCGUUAAGUUGCAGGGUAUAGACCCGAAACCCGGUGAUCUAGCCAUGGGCAGGUUGAAGGUUGGGUAACACUAACUGGAGGACCGAACCGACUAAUGUUGAAAAAUUAGCGGAUGACUUGUGGCUGGGGGUGAAAGGCCAAUCAAACCGGGAGAUAGCUGGUUCUCCCCGAAAGCUAUUUAGGUAGCGCCUCGUGAAUUCAUCUCCGGGGGUAGAGCACUGUUUCGGCAAGGGGGUCAUCCCGACUUACCAACCCGAUGCAAACUGCGAAUACCGGAGAAUGUUAUCACGGGAGACACACGGCGGGUGCUAACGUCCGUCGUGAAGAGGGAAACAACCCAGACCGCCAGCUAAGGUCCCAAAGUCAUGGUUAAGUGGGAAACGAUGUGGGAAGGCCCAGACAGCCAGGAUGUUGGCUUAGAAGCAGCCAUCAUUUAAAGAAAGCGUAAUAGCUCACUGGUCGAGUCGGCCUGCGCGGAAGAUGUAACGGGGCUAAACCAUGCACCGAAGCUGCGGCAGCGACACUAUGUGUUGUUGGGUAGGGGAGCGUUCUGUAAGCCUGUGAAGGUGUGCUGUGAGGCAUGCUGGAGGUAUCAGAAGUGCGAAUGCUGACAUAAGUAACGAUAAAGCGGGUGAAAAGCCCGCUCGCCGGAAGGCCAAGGGUUCCUGUCCAACGUUAAUCGGGGCAGGGUGAGUCGACCCCUAAGGCGAGGCCGAAAGGCGUAGUCGAUGGGAAACAGGUUAAUAUUCCUGUACUUGGUGUUACUGCGAAGGGGGGACGGAGAAGGCUAUGUUGGCCGGGCGACGGUUGUCCCGGUUUAAGCGUGUAGGCUGGUUUUCCAGGCAAAUCCGGAAAAUCAAGGCUGAGGCGUGAUGACGAGGCACUACGGUGCUGAAGCAACAAAUGCCCUGCUUCCAGGAAAAGCCUCUAAGCAUCAGGUAACAUCAAAUCGUACCCCAAACCGACACAGGUGGUCAGGUAGAGAAUACCAAGGCGCUUGAGAGAACUCGGGUGAAGGAACUAGGCAAAAUGGUGCCGUAACUUCGGGAGAAGGCACGCUGAUAUGUAGGUGAAGUCCCUCGCGGAUGGAGCUGAAAUCAGUCGAAGAUACCAGCUGGCUGCAACUGUUUAUUAAAAACACAGCACUGUGCAAACACGAAAGUGGACGUAUACGGUGUGACGCCUGCCCGGUGCCGGAAGGUUAAUUGAUGGGGUUAGCCGCAAGGCGAAGCUCUUGAUCGAAGCCCCGGUAAACGGCGGCCGUAACUAUAACGGUCCUAAGGUAGCGAAAUUCCUUGUCGGGUAAGUUCCGACCUGCACGAAUGGCGUAAUGAUGGCCAGGCUGUCUCCACCCGAGACUCAGUGAAAUUGAACUCGCUGUGAAGAUGCAGUGUACCCGCGGCAAGACGGAAAGACCCCGUGAACCUUUACUAUAGCUUGACACUGAACAUUGAGCCUUGAUGUGUAGGAUAGGUGGGAGGCUUAGAAGUGUGGACGCCAGUCUGCAUGGAGCCGACCUUGAAAUACCACCCUUUAAUGUUUGAUGUUCUAACGUUGACCCGUAAUCCGGGUUGCGGACAGUGUCUGGUGGGUAGUUUGACUGGGGCGGUCUCCUCCUAAAGAGUAACGGAGGAGCACGAAGGUUGGCUAAUCCUGGUCGGACAUCAGGAGGUUAGUGCAAUGGCAUAAGCCAGCUUGACUGCGAGCGUGACGGCGCGAGCAGGUGCGAAAGCAGGUCAUAGUGAUCCGGUGGUUCUGAAUGGAAGGGCCAUCGCUCAACGGAUAAAAGGUACUCCGGGGAUAACAGGCUGAUACCGCCCAAGAGUUCAUAUCGACGGCGGUGUUUGGCACCUCGAUGUCGGCUCAUCACAUCCUGGGGCUGAAGUAGGUCCCAAGGGUAUGGCUGUUCGCCAUUUAAAGUGGUACGCGAGCUGGGUUUAGAACGUCGUGAGACAGUUCGGUCCCUAUCUGCCGUGGGCGCUGGAGAACUGAGGGGGGCUGCUCCUAGUACGAGAGGACCGGAGUGGACGCAUCACUGGUGUUCGGGUUGUCAUGCCAAUGGCACUGCCCGGUAGCUAAAUGCGGAAGAGAUAAGUGCUGAAAGCAUCUAAGCACGAAACUUGCCCCGAGAUGAGUUCUCCCUGAC